GACGAACGCUGGCGGCGUGCUUAACACAUGCAAGUCGAACGGAAAGGCCUUUUCGGAGGUACUCGAGUGGCGAACGGGUGAGUAACACGUGGGUGAUCUGCCCUGCACUCUGGGAUAAGCCUGGGAAACUGGGUCUAAUACCGGAUAGGACCGCACUUUAGUGUGUGUGGUGGAAAGUUUUUUCGGUGUAGGAUGAGCCCGCGGCCUAUCAGCUUGUUGGUGGGGGAAUGGCCUACCAAGGCGGCGACGGGUAGCCGGACUGAGAGGUUGGUAGGCCACAUUGGGACUGAGAUACGGCCCAGACUCCUACGGGAGGCAGCAGGGGGGAAUAUUGCACAAUGGGCGCAAGCCUGAUGCAGCGACGCCGCGUGGGGGAUGACGGCCUUCGGGUUGUAAACGCCUUUCGCCAGGGACGAAGCGUUUUGUGACGGUACCUGGAGAAGAAGCACCGGCUAACUACGUG
Molecule: ribosomal RNA, 463 nt
Filed under: uncultured bacterium
Lineage: Bacteria
Description: partial 16S ribosomal RNA
Rfam family: Bacterial small subunit ribosomal RNA
Source: RNAcentral